UGGGGAAUAUUGGACAAUGGGCGCAAGCCUGAUCCAGCAAUGCCGCGUGUGUGAAGAAGGCCUUCGGGUUGUAAAGCACUUUUUAUCAGGAGCGAAACGCUGUCGGCUAAUACCCGGCGGAACUGACGGUACCUGAGGAAUAAGCACCGGCUAACUUCGUGCCAGCAGCCGCGGUAAUACGAAGGGUGCAAGCGUUAAUCGGAAUUACUGGGCGUAAAGCGUGCGUAGGCGGUUUCUUAAGUCUGCUGUGAAAUCCCCGGGCUCAACCUGGGAAUGGCAGUGGAUACUGGGAGGCUAGAGUGUGUCAGAGGGUGGUGGAAUUCCCGGUGUAGCGGUGAAAUGCGUAGAGAUCGGGAGGAACAUCAGUGGCGAAGGCGGCCACCUGGGACAACACUGACGCUGAGGCACGAAAGCGUGGGGAGCAAACAGGAUUAGAUACCCUGGUAGUCCACGCCCUAAACGAUGCGAACUGGAUGUUGGUCUCAACUCGGAGAUCAGUGUCGAAGCUAACGCGUUAAGUUCGCCGCCUGGGGAGUACGGUCGCAAGACUGAAACUCAAAGGAAUUGACGGGGUCAUAGCUGUUUCC
RNAcentral lists this ribosomal RNA (587 nucleotides) under uncultured bacterium. RNAcentral describes it as "partial 16S ribosomal RNA". It matches the Rfam family "Bacterial small subunit ribosomal RNA", at positions 355 to 937 of the family's 1533-position model. The record is from RNAcentral.